GUAUGUAGUAUAUUUUCUUGUCACAUGGCCGUACAUAUGUUAACUUUCAAAUAUGUUCAGAUAACCGUUAAGAUUUAUUUGCGUAUAUAAGAGAAUAAUAUAAAAUAUGAAGAAACAAUGAAUAAAAUUUCAUAUUUUUUGUGUUGUGGAAUUAUUUCAUGAAUCAAGGUUUCAAUAUUUUAAGUUCCACUACAUAAGUUUGUAAUUCAGUUGAUUAGGUUAUUUUUUCAAAUGGAAGAAGCGGCGAUUAAUUCGCCAAAUUCACGUCUAAACGAUGACCAAAUUAAUGAAACAGACGACGAAAAUUCUCGUAUAAAUUAUAAUGACUCAGGAAAUGAACAUGAAAUUCUAUAUGGGGAAUGUACGCCGCAACAGGUAUCAACAAGCAGACAAAUCAAUAAUUCUAUUUUUAAUACUAUAUCUAAAAUUGUUAAUCCCACAGCAAAGGUACCAGAAAUUCAAGAUUUUAAAAUUGUGAAACCAAUAAGUCGUGGUGCAUUUGGCAAAGUUUUUCUUGGACAUAAAAAAUCAAAUCCUGAGAAAGUAUAUGCUAUUAAAGUAAUGAAAAAAAAUGAGAUGAUAAAUAAAAAUAUGGCUUCACAAGUGAUCAUUGAAAGAAAUGCUUUAGCUUUGACACGUAGUCCAUAUUGUGUACAAUUAUUUUAUUCAUUACAAUCUGCUAGUAGUGUUUAUUUAGUAAUGGAGUACAUGGUUGGUGGAGAUCUUAAAAGCUUGCUUGGUGUAUAUGGUUAUAUGGAAGAGUCUAUGGCAGCUUUUUAUACUGCAGAAGUAUGUCUUGCUUUAGAAUAUCUUCAUUCUCAUGGAAUUGUACAUAGGGAUUUAAAACCAGAUAAUAUGCUUUUGUCAAAAGAAGGACAUGUCAAGUUGACAGAUUUUGGGCUUAGUAAUAUAUCUUUGCAUAGAGAUCUUGAAAUAUCAGAUUUAGUUAAUUGUACGCCCAGUCUUUGUACUAGAACUCCUGGACAACUUCUUUCUUUGACAUCACAUUUAUCUUUUGGCUCUGGACAAAGAUCGACAAGUGAAUCUAAUCUUAGUGACAAAAGUACACUUGGUAUUAAUUUACUUCCUGCUUUACAACAAAAUUCAACUAAAUUUCAAUCUUCACCAAAUUCGAUAAUUUCAUCUGCUGCAUCAGGAGAUUAUUCCCGAGUAUCUGGUAUUACCCCUUUUCAAUCUGCAGAAGAUCUUCAUUUAACGGAACGUUUGGAACAUAUUAUUGUUGAAAAAAAAAAUGAAGAUGAUGAAAGUAGCUCUGGAAGUUAUCAUACAUGUGAGGCAUCUUCAGUUCGCAUUAAUAAUCAACUUAAUCAAAAUUUAGAAGAGGAGGACGAAUCUACAUUAGAAGCAGAUCAAUCUCAACAACUUCUUCCUCAUACUAGUCCGUUAAGUACAUGUACAAAUACGUUUACCAGAGGUGCGAAACGAAAAAGAGCAACAGGAGGAACAACUGGUUUAACGUGUGAAUUAAGUAUAAUGGAUUUGGAUGUUGAUAAAACACCAAAAAGAAAAAAUCGUGGUUGUAUAUUUUCUAGAAGUCCAAUAAAUUCCGUUAUUUCUGAAUCAGUAAAACAAACGAACAAUACUAAUGAUACAGGUAUGGUACAAGAAAGUGGAUCUAGUGGAAGAGUUGCAUUUAGUACACCAGUAUCAUUCACGAAACAGAGAUGCUAUAGUGAAGAAGAUGCAGAAACAUGCGAAGAAGAAACAGUACGUUUGAUUAAAACGACAAGAUUUCAACUUCCACCAGUUCUUACAUCACAUUCAGCCCCUGAGAUACCUAUAGGUGAUAAUUCUGAGAAACAUCGAUCGCCUCAAGUUAUAUCUCCCAUAAAAACACCUGCAACUUCUGGCAAUUGUUACACACCUUACAGAACUCCGAAAUCGAUAUUCCUUGGCCAGAGGAAGAAGAAGCUCUGUCAACAGUUGCUGUGGAAGCCAUAGAUGCACUUCUUACUUUAGAUCAAUAUGAGCGUCCUUCUGCACAAGAAGUGCGAGUCAUGAAACUUUUUCAACACUUCCCUUGGAACGAACCGCUAAAAGCGAUGCCACCUUUUAUACCACAACCUGACGAUAAUUACGAUACAUGUUACUUUCAAGCACGAAACAUUAUGCAACAUUUAAACGUGAGCAGCUGUGAAACAUAAAAAUCAUAUUGAUGGAAAAAUAGAUAUCAAUUUACAGUUUAUUUUAUGACUGAAGUAACAUUAUGCAACAUUUAAAUGUGAGCAACUGUAAUACAUAAUCUUCAAAAGAAGAUCAUUUCAAUGCAAUAAGGAAAUAUCAACAUAUGGAUUGCUUUAUGACAGGAAUAAUAUAACAUUAAAAUUGUAUAAACUAUUUUUUAUAUAGUUGUAUAUGUAUAGUAUUAUAAAAUAUUUUGUUACAAUUUAAAA
This 2414-nucleotide unclassified non-coding RNA is filed under the name Apis dorsata (giant honeybee). RNAcentral describes it as "serine/threonine-protein kinase greatwall, transcript variant X2". Lineage: Eukaryota; Metazoa; Arthropoda; Insecta; Hymenoptera; Apidae. The record is from RNAcentral.